GCGCGCCGGGUUCAGUGGUUCUUAACAGUUCAACAGUUCUGUAGCGCAAUUGUGAAAUGUUUAGGACCACUAGACCCGCC
Ictidomys tridecemlineatus (thirteen-lined ground squirrel) is the source of this 80-nucleotide non-coding RNA. The record is from Rfam. Lineage: Eukaryota; Metazoa; Chordata; Mammalia; Rodentia; Sciuridae.